GUGCCAGCCGCCGCGGUAAUACGAAGGGGGCUAGCGUUGCUCGGAAUCACUGGGCGUAAAGCGCACGUAGGCGGCUUUUUAAGUCAGGGGUGAAAUCCUGGAGCUCAACUCCAGAACUGCCUUUGAUACUGAGAAGCUUGAGUCCGGGAGAGGUGAGUGGAACUGCGAGUGUAGAGGUGAAAUUCGUAGAUAUUCGCAAGAACACCAGUGGCGAAGGCGGCUCACUGGCCCGGUACUGACGCUGAGGUGCGAAAGCGUGGGGAGCAAACAGGAUUAGAUACCCCCGUAGUCC
Molecule: ribosomal RNA, 292 nt
Filed under: uncultured bacterium
Lineage: Bacteria
Description: partial 16S ribosomal RNA
Rfam family: Bacterial small subunit ribosomal RNA
Source: RNAcentral